Molecule: non-coding RNA, 75 nt
Organism: Podarcis lilfordi (Lilford's wall lizard)
Lineage: Eukaryota; Metazoa; Chordata; Lepidosauria; Squamata; Lacertidae
Source: the annotation of a GenBank genome assembly
AUUUAUAUACCUCUCAGUUGGUAAAGCAUGAGGGUAUUAAUCUCAGGUUCAUGGGUUCGAGCCCCACAUUAGACA